This 30-nucleotide non-coding RNA is filed under the name Homo sapiens (human). Lineage: Eukaryota; Metazoa; Chordata; Mammalia; Primates; Hominidae. The record is from RNAcentral.
AAGACAUCCAGGUGUGGCCUGUGGGCACGU